Mya arenaria is the source of this 1930-nucleotide long non-coding RNA. RefSeq lists it as uncharacterized. The transcript has 3 exons. The record is from RefSeq and is a predicted model, not a curated record. Lineage: Eukaryota; Metazoa; Mollusca; Bivalvia; Myida; Myidae.
GUCAAAAUGUUCGUCGAAGAUAUGCUCUUAUUUCGAUGCAUUUCAAGAGUUUUUGUGUGAUAAAAAAAAUGGAAUUUUAUAGUGAAAUGCUAUCCAACCACCAGACUCAUGAUCUUGACAUGGAUCCAAGAUGCUGGUAACUAGGCGGAACUGAUUGUUUCACAGAACUGCGGGUUUCUGGAUGGAGACUCAUCGCCGUGUCACAAAAUACUUCAGAACCUAGAUUGAAAGUUACUGAAAGAGCAGUAGACUUUCCAUUCUCUACAAAAUUCAAAUUAACUGUUUUUUAAAGGUGUUACUUGAGACAACCAAAGACUUUUCAAGGACAGAAUUCACAAAACAGUUUAUGCCACCAUCUCAUAUCAAACGAUUGUGCUUAGUGUUGGGAAUCGGUUCCAAUAUUACUAUCGAUAAUCGGUUCCACUCAAGUAACCGAUUAUCUAUAGUACAAUCGUUUUUUUUUAAAAUACUAGAUAAAACCUAAAGCGAAGUUUUAUUCAUGCACAUUAUUAAACUCUUAAUUAUUAUAUGCAUAUACGUUAUGUCUAUGAUUAAAGUUAUUAAGUGUUAUAUAAAAAAUAGUUCAUUUUUACUUGCUCAUUGUGGCUUUCAUCAGCCAUUUUGUUAAAGAUAACAUCUGAACACUCACUUAUAUUUUUUUUCAUUUUUUUUUUUUUCGAUGAUCGAUUAUAACCAAAUACAAUCGAUUGACGCCGAUUUCAGGCCCAACCAAUCGAUUUUCGAUUAUAAUCGAUCAUCGGAACAUCACUAAUUGUGCUUGAGUUGAACAGCCUUCAAACAGAAACUGUUUCAACACCGUCAAUGGAUUCAUUCAGUUUACUAUCGCUGUGAUAUGAGCAACUAUUAACAUCAUUUUAACAGUGUAAAUUGUUUAAACUUGAAAAUUCGGUCUUCAUGCAACUCACAUGAAUCUAUUUACUGUGGACUUUGAUGUUGACUCUAUUCAGGAAGAAGAGACCAUCUUUAUACAUGCUGGCAUAUCAUUUAAAAAGGAUCAAAUUUUAUAACCAACAUACUGCACUGUUAUGUCAUUCAAGGACUCAGCUACUGACUCCAUUUAUGAAUACUACAAAGGAAUGUCUCUGUCAAUGUAAUUACUGUUGAGCAUAAUAAGACAUUUUUUAUUGAAACUUGGCUCAUUUCUUACAUGUAGCUGUAACAUUUUGGGCAACUUCUCAAUUAUUUUGUUUAAGACAUUUUUCAUCCAGCUCACCUAAGCCUAAGUUAGUGUUCAUGUUAACUUUUGUGACUGCCUGUUUAUUGUACUUUUUAUAAAUUAUUUUCAAUGACUUUUUCUCAAGAACCAUUUGGAUAGUAUGUCUCCUCCUGAAAUAGACUAAUUGUUUUAGCUCGAGUUGUCUGUCUGUCCAUCUGUAACAAAUUGUGUCUGCUCCAUGUCUCUUUAACCUUUUGAAGGAUUUGAUAUUACUUCCCACAAAUGUACACCAUAUUGAGAGGAAGGGUUUAUUAUUUAUAACUGUUGAGCAGUUUCUGAACUUGACUAUAUUAUAUCUUGCAUUUACAUCAAGCUGUUAAGUGAACAAUAUAACAUUGACCAAUACAAGGAACUAAACCUUCUUUGUCACCAUUUUGGAAUAAAGUAAUACUUAAAGCUCAUAUUUCCAUAAGAAUCUGCUCAUAUACAGUUUAAAUAGCUUAUACAAGUAUAUCAUUUCAACAUAACAUCAGAUCCACCACUGUUUUAUGUUUGCAACAUGUUUUUUUUAAACUUUGAUAUAUAUAUCAUGACUUUUAUAAACAAAUACCAAACAGCAACUUACAGAUCUAUACUCAUUUGGGCAAAAUUUGUAAAUCUAAGCCUUUUCAUUUGAUAUUUGGCAAAUUGGGGCAUUUUCUGUCACAUUAAAAUCAAUAUUAACAAUAAAUCUCCAACUUUAAUAUGAUCAUA